Molecule: long non-coding RNA, 503 nt
Organism: Zea mays
Lineage: Eukaryota; Viridiplantae; Streptophyta; Magnoliopsida; Poales; Poaceae
Exons: 3
Source: RefSeq, a predicted model, not a curated record
GAUCACUUUGUCCAUAGCCACAAUAAAGAUCAAGCUGGAGUGGUCAGAUGUCCCUCUGCGUGGCCAAAACGUUCUAGGAAGGAGUUAAAUUCGUCGUGCCCCUAACUCCUUUGUUCAAAUUGGUUGUGCGCCAUGGUCCGCCAUCCCCUUGCGACCAUGUAGCCCAAGUAUAAAAUCCUGACCUCGCCCGAGCUCGCCACAGCGUGCUCUUUACCAUGCCGGACCUCGCCGUGCUCUUUCUCACUUGCCUCACCGUGACCGGCACUCCCUGAGUGUGGAGUCCAGAACAUCGUCGCGCCGCGGCAGGCCAGCGCCGUGGACAACUUCACCUUGACCGAUCAACCUGUAUCUUCCCCGAGCGGUUUAGUGCGCGCACCGAGAACUUGAACACCUAGACGAGGUGGUACUUGACGAAGUCUACUCCAGUGCCUACUCAUCAAGUGGAUGGAGCUAUCUAACUAAAGGUUAGGUAGAAGGAUCUAGAACCUCUUCACUGCAAAAAG